Long non-coding RNA from Cyprinus carpio (common carp), 761 nucleotides. RefSeq lists it as uncharacterized. Lineage: Eukaryota; Metazoa; Chordata; Actinopteri; Cypriniformes; Cyprinidae. The record is from RefSeq and is a predicted model, not a curated record. The transcript is spliced from 4 exons.
AGAAUGACGGCUGAUUCUGCGAUCCUGCGUGACAAAUGAAGAGUGUGGGGUGUAAAAUUAAAAGCGCUGAGCUGGCGCGAGAGAAACCAGAAACUCAUUAGAAACUCACGUGACGAUCGGACAUAAGCGUGUGUGAUAAAUAACACGCAUGCUCACAUGUGUGUGUUUGUGCAGGUCAGAAGCGCCUCAUCCUCGGUAUCCAGGGACCUCAUCAGGACCUGCUGCCAUGGCAACCGUACACACCAAACACCGGGAUCACGGUGACAGAGAUCCAGAGCUGCACUUUCACUUUAUUAAAAGCCUCCGAUGACACACAGCCCUCGUCUGAUGCAUGCCGCACAAAAAUGGCAAAAAAAAAGCGCUCAGACAUAAUCUGAAGUUUGCAGUACUGAGUACAUUACAGCACAUAGCUGAGCCAUGAAAGCAUCUAUAACAUCCUCAUCAGAAGAGCACUCACGAGAGAAGAACUCCAAACUACACUGAAAACAAUCGCUGAACGUGAUGCUGACGGCCGAGACGAUGAGAGCAAACAUGAGACGACAGCAGCGCUAACUUCACCAGAAGAGCCGAGAGCACUGACGCAAACACACUGAGCGUGACUGCAGUACUGUCAGAAAGUCUGGGGUAAGAAAUCAACGCUUUUAUUCAGCAAGGGUGCAUUAAAUUGAAUAAAAGUGACAGUUAGGACAUUUCUAAUGUCUCAAAAGAGAUCUAUUUCAAAUUAAUGCUGUUCUUUUGAACUUUCUAUUCAUCUGUGAAUC